RNAcentral lists this ribosomal RNA (497 nucleotides) under uncultured bacterium. Its description in RNAcentral is "partial 16S ribosomal RNA". It matches the Rfam family "Bacterial small subunit ribosomal RNA", at positions 28 to 507 of the family's 1533-position model. The record is from RNAcentral.
GACGAACGCUGGCGGCGUGCCUAAUACAUGCAAGUAGAACGCUGAAGCUUGGUGCUUGCACCGAGUGGAUGAGUUGCGAACGGGUGAGUAACGCGUAGGUAACCUGCCUUGUAGCGGGGGAUAACUAUUGGAAACGAUAGCUAAUACCGCAUAAGAGUAGAUGUUGCAUGACAUUUGCUUAAAAGGUGCAAUUGCAUCACUACCAGAUGGACCUGCGUUGUAUUAGCUAGUUGGUGAGGUAACGGCUCACCAAGGCAACGAUACAUAGCCGACCUGAGAGGGUGAUCGGCCACACUGGGACUGAGACACGGCCCAAACUCCUACGGGAGGCAGCAGUAGGGAAUCUUCGGCAAUGGACGGAAGUCUGACCGAGCAACGCCGCGUGAGUGAAGAAGGUUUUCGGAUCGUAAAGCUCUGUUGUAAGAGAAGAACGAGUGUGAGAGUGGAAAGUUCACACUGUGACGGUAUCUAACCAGAAAGGGACGGCUAACUACGUG